UAUAUAUAUAUUUUUUUUUUCGUUAGUAUUUGAACCGCACCGCACUUAAUUUAUAGUUGAACCACUUGUCUUUAUUCCAAAAUUAAUUUGUAGGUGUAUUAUAUAUACUUUUUGUUUGGUAUUGAUAAAUGUACAUAUAUAUUGCGUAUUUAAUCUCCCAACAGGCAUCAGCCAUAGCAUCAAGAAACUUGGUCAAAUAGGCCAAACAAGCCUCGUCACACCGAACAUGAACAGUUAGAGGGAGAACAAAAUCGCUCACCUUCUCCAGAUCUUUCAGAUUAAAAUCGAUGUUUGGACAUCAUCUAUCGUUUUCUUAUUAUUACGUUUGUGAAUAUGAUUUAUCAUAUGAACUUUUCUGUACAUUUUUAUGCAUUCUGAUAACUUGGUAACAUUGAUAUACAAUUUUAUAACGUAAUAGUCAUUUGAGACAUUCGACAUACAAAAAAAAAAUAUGAGACCUAUAUGGCUAUAUGCAAGGGAAAAGAAUUAAAGCGUUGACUUGAAUUACUAGCAUACGAUGAUGUGAAUUGUGUAGUUGAUGACAAGAGAAUAUAUGGAAUAAAUAAUUGUUUGUUACAAUUAAGUUAGACAAGUUUCAAAAUACAUAAGUAAUAUAACUACAUACAUUGUAUCAAUAUAUCAUAUACUGUUUUUGUAUGUGAUCAUGAUAGUGAAAUAAU
Molecule: small RNA, 680 nt
Filed under: Arabidopsis thaliana (thale cress)
Lineage: Eukaryota; Viridiplantae; Streptophyta; Magnoliopsida; Brassicales; Brassicaceae
Description: ATSL195400
Source: RNAcentral